RNAcentral lists this non-coding RNA (21 nucleotides) under Caenorhabditis elegans. Lineage: Eukaryota; Metazoa; Nematoda; Chromadorea; Rhabditida; Rhabditidae. The record is from RNAcentral.
UUCAAGCACCGUAUCUAACGA